This 3737-nucleotide long non-coding RNA is filed under the name Oryza brachyantha (malo sina). RNAcentral describes it as "long non-coding RNA (OBRA_LNC001762)". Lineage: Eukaryota; Viridiplantae; Streptophyta; Magnoliopsida; Poales; Poaceae. The record is from RNAcentral.
CCCUUAUUUGUGGACGAUCGAUGGGGUACUGGGGCCUCUUCUUUUGGUAACCGGUCAAUGGUAUUUUCGGACCAGUGCAAUGUGCUUGUGCACUUUCUUUUUAAGGCCAAACAUCAUUCAGGCAUAAAAAGUGAUGCGAAAUGCUUCUCUUUUCCUCCCCUGUUUUGUAAUGCAAACAGUGGUCAAAGGCUACCCAAGGAAUUUCGUCCUGUUAAAGAUGGUUAGAACUCAAAUGGACAAAACAAAAUACUGUAGUAAGCUCUACAAUUAUAUGCUAUGUAUAAAACUUAAAAAUAGUUUAAUUUCUGCGGAGAAGUGAGAAAAUCUUACGGGGACGCCUUGCAUAUAGCCAUGUAUUGGCUACAAGUAUACGCCAAACUCAUCUAAGGCUAAUUAUAUUGAUAGAGCAUAAUAUAAAAUAAACAUGAGCAUACUUUACUAAUAGAUAUUUAACAAUACUACUCUCUUCACGCAUAUUGACCUAUCACAUUUAUUAUUGAUAGGUCUUAUUCUCUAUCCUUACUUUACUCAUGCACCUAAACAUCUACACAUUUAUCUUUUCAUUUAUAUUCUUAUAAGUCAAAUUUUUAAUUUUUUAAAUUUAGAGUUAAUUUUGAGAAAUUUUUUAUCAAAGUUUAUUUUCUCAUUUUGCUUUUAGUUCGCUAAAUAUAUACAUAUAAAAUUUUUAUUUAUAAAUUAUUUUUGUUUAAAAAUAUAUCGUUUAACCAAUCAUUCCUUACUCUUGCAAUUUGAGUUAUCACACUUCUUUUAUUAUACUUAGCUCUUAAACGGCCCGAGCUUACCGAGAAGUCGGAGCAUACGUACAACUCCGUCUCUCUCAUGGCUCAUGGCAUGCAGGCAUGCAAGCAUACAGUGGACGCAUCACUGCUCUCACUUUUGCGCCAUCUCCCUCGUGAUCUGUUCCGCUGUGUCUCUCUGCUACUGCUGCUGCUGUUGCUGUUGCCAGAUGAAGCUGACGGCAAUGCAAUUGCAGGUGCUAGCAACUGAUCAGAGAAAAAAGAGAUACUGUAGAGAGAGAGAGAGAAUAGCCAUGCAUGAAAGACAAGCUAGUCCCCAGCUCGUGGACCUUCAAAGAAAGCGAGAGAGAGAGAGAGAGAGGGAAGGGCAAAUGCAUGCAGAUAUGCAAUGAUGGAAAAGGGAGAGAGGAGAGCAUCGGGAUGUUCCAACCAUGGGUUGGAUGGAAUCCGAAGGAGCACACUAGCGGAGCGAUGGACCAUCGUGGUCGGACCGCGAAAAUGAUGGCCGCCCGGCUAAGCAAAUUCAAUAGUAUAGCCUACUCCUAACUACAAUUUAUCUAUAGUCAAUCUAAUAGCUAAUUCAUACAAUAGUUAGCUACAAAAUAUAUACUAUUAUGUCUUACUUGUCAUACAUACAUUGUGUCUUAGAGUCCAUGCUGUAGCUAGCUCACCACUCUUCUCUAUCAUCUCUUAUCUUAUUAAAAUAUAAUUACAACCAUCUUAUAGCCUGCUAUUGUACCUGCUCUAACAUACUCCGUGUCUAUAAUCGUACCUGAUGGGAAGGUCGUCGACUCGACUAUAUGAACAGGUUCUGUGAACCUGCUUUUAUUUACCAGUCGUGGUCCAGGUUAUUCAUUUGGCUACUAUAACGACGGUUGAAUUAUUUUGAUACAUGGAACGCCGAUCUUACGUGUAUGUACUAAAUGUAUACUCUGAUCUUAAAAACAAGGGUUUCCACUUGAAAUCUAAAAAAGUCAUAUAAAACAUAGAUUCGGUAUAUGAUAUACUCUUAAGUUUGUAGUAACUAGAGCUUUCUUAAUGUUAUAUGUUCAUGUUUGUGAGCUAGAUCGAUCGUCAAAUUAAAUAGUUUAAUGUUAAUUUCGAAUGGUCUCAAAGGUGAGUAUGGGGUAUAGUCUUCUCGUGUUAGAUAUCGAUAUAUUGCAUAUACAGUGGAUCCCAAUACGCAUUAUGCCAGUGUUAUAUUUGCCAUAACUUUUAAAAAAGAGAGUUAACUAAUGUGCUCUUUUAUUACGUUGCUGUUUUAUUGUAUUUUUUUAACUUAAAAGACUGUUAAGACAGUGGACAUAUUUUUUAUGAAAACAAAGUAUUUUUUCUGCACAAGACCUAUCUCGCUUUGGCUACCUAUACCUGACCAUAGCCAAUCAGAUAGUCCGUCCCACUUGACCAGACAGUCCGACCAUUUUGACUGUUGCUACCUUAUGUGUUUUUUAGGAUCGCCUAUUCAACUCCUCUAGGCGAUGUCUCAACAAUUUCAUAUGUGUCCAAAUAAAUAUGUUCUAUUAUUAAGUAGAGAAUUAGCCAAUCAAGUCUAUUAAUUAAAUUAGAAUUAAUUUACAAGUCUUACUAGCUAGGAAUAUAAUUAAUUGACAAGUGCUUGUCAAGUAUUAUUUGUCAGCACGUACCCACCCUCAAGCGUGACAAAUGGGCAUUAAUCUCUGGGCGGCGGCUAUAUACGCGUAGCGUUGGCUAAAUCAACUUCUGUUGUGCAAUAUAAAAACGUCUAGAGUAAAGAUGGCUUCGGGCUAAUCCGUUGAAUGCAUCGGCUUGUCUUCCUUUCUGGGGGAUAAUUGCCUCAACUUGUCCGAAAUGUGCGAACGGGCAAGUUAGUCGUACGUGCACGUACGAUGUUUUGCUUAUCUCGAUUGUGUUAAUUUGAUCACGAAGAAAAUUUCAAACCUACACAACACUAGACUGUAUUUUUGUUUGAGCUCCCAACAUCUAACACAAAACUAGCUAAAACCUAUGUCCGUAGCUCACCGUUGCCAACAAAAGCUGGCCGGUGAUAUUCAGGCGCUCAGCAGCAUACCUCCAAGGCUCACUCCCCCUCCUCCUACAACUGGUUUUUUUUAAAAGAGUAAAGUACACAGCUGGAUCUUAAACUUGUCCGGCUGUGUCACUUGGGUUGCUCAACUCUUAAAAUAUGGAUUACUCCUCCCUAAUCUUAAUUUGGGUCACAUUAGAGAUCCAACUGGAUCUAAACCCACUACCCAAGCUGAUGUGGCAUGUCCAACGUGUAAAGGCCAUGCAUGGAUUUGUAUUAGCGGGCAGUUGAGGCGUAACUAAUUUGCAGUUAGACCCUUGCGCUUCCGAUUGGUGUUUUUGCAUGUACAAUAUUUGCCAAUGGUGUUGCCUUGCCUGUACUUAUUUAGUACUUGACAACAGAUUGAUCAGCUAGUCUUGAUAAAUUAAAUGCAGUAUUUAUUGAUGUAAUUCCAUUUUCAUCCUAAUUUCGGACAUCAUGAUUAAUAAAUUUAGAAUCGUUAAUCCAUCAAAUUGGUAAAUCGGUGUUCCUUGAUUAAUGCAGAUGUAAAGAUGAGGCAUCAAAUAAUCAAUUGAUAAGUUUAAACAGUAUGUAAUGGUAGCUUAGCAACGUGAUACUUUCAUGGGUACAAAAUCAACUAUCUUAGUAUUUUUCAUUUGCACAGACUUUCAGUCAUUCACCAAAGCAUCUUCAGUUUGCAUCACACAUACACAAGAACAGAACCAAAACCUUUUGUCCUUGAUUUCAGAACAUACUAAAACCCUAGCACAAAAAAUGAAGUUCUACCUAAAGAAUGAUAAAUACAUGUCCAAAAUCAAACAAGAACAACUCAUGUGCAAGGAAGACAAGGUGAUUAGGAUUUAAUUCACUCACCAUACAAGGGCGUCCUUUCUCCUUGUCGCCGCAAUCUGGCCACCAUCUCGUGGGUGAUGCCUUGGACAGCGGUCUUGCAUUCACAACGUCCCUACUCCUCGCUG